ACCAUAUAUUUAGCUCUACUGUUAAGCUUACAUCCUAUCAGAGAGGCACAGAGAGAGGUCAAAGAUCCUUGUGCCCCGGAUUCUGUACCAUAAGAAACUCUUCAAAAUGGCUAAGUCAAAAGAAGAAGAAUUGAAGUGUUUUAGAGGAAAAUUGACAAAAUAAUGUGGAAGAAAAAGAAUUGAAGAAGAGUCGGAAGAAUUAGACAAUUUGCUCAACGUGCAAUCCAGGCUUAGCGUGCAACUCUCGCUUAACGGGCAAUUCCAGACUUAGCACGAAGUAUCACUCAGCGCAUGCUCUUGCUCAACAUAGGCCAAGCUUAGCACGAGAAGAUCCACGAGGAAAAGCCUAGUGCACGCUUAACGCGCAGAAUGCGCACUCAGUGUGAAGUCAGCGUGAAAAGUAAAUUACCCUAAGCCUAUAAAAGGAGUAGGAAGCAGAAGAAAAAGGCGCACCUAGUCUCAGAGCUCUUCAGUGUAAAAAUCCAAAGCUUGAGUCUCUCCCUUAGGGGAAACUCUCUUUCCUUAGUCAUUCCCUCUUUUCUUAUUACUAGUCAUCCAACCCUUUCUUUCAUUAGCCUUUGAAGUGUAAAGUCUCUCAUGGUUAUGAGAGGCUAAACCUCAUCUGUUGUGUUGGAGCCUAGUAGUUAGUGCCCUUGUAAUGUAACUGUUCUUCUUAUCUAUUAAUGCAAUUUCAAUUUUUAUUGUUCCCCUCUA
Long non-coding RNA from Glycine soja, 714 nucleotides. RefSeq lists it as uncharacterized. The record is from RefSeq and is a predicted model, not a curated record. Lineage: Eukaryota; Viridiplantae; Streptophyta; Magnoliopsida; Fabales; Fabaceae. The transcript is spliced from 2 exons.